GUGGGGAAUUUUGGACAAUGGGCGAAAGCCUGAUCCAGCCAUACCGCGUGCGGGAAGAAGGCCUUCGGGUUGUAAACCGCUUUUGUCAGGGAAGAAAUGCUUCGGGCUAAUACCCUGGGGUGAUGACGGUACCUGAAGAAUAAGCACCGGCUAACUACGUGCCAGCAGCCGCGGUAAUACGUAGGGUGCAAGCGUUAAUCGGAAUUACUGGGCGUAAAGCGUGCGCAGGCGGUUCUAUAAGACAGAUGUGAAAUCCCCGGGCUCAACCUGGGAACUGCAUUUGUGACUGUAGAGCUAGAGUACGGUAGAGGGGGAUGGAAUUCCGCGUGUAGCAGUGAAAUGCGUAGAUAUGCGGAGGAACACCGAUGGCGAAGGCAAUCCCCUGGACCUGUACUGACGCUCAUGCACGAAAGCGUGGGGAGCAAACAGGAUUAGAAACCCCAGUAGUCC
This 450-nucleotide ribosomal RNA is filed under the name uncultured bacterium. RNAcentral's name for it is "bacterial SSU rRNA". It matches the Rfam family "Bacterial small subunit ribosomal RNA", at positions 354 to 796 of the family's 1533-position model. The record is from RNAcentral.